AUAGUGUGUAUGACUUCUCUCCUG
This 24-nucleotide non-coding RNA is filed under the name Arabidopsis thaliana (thale cress). Lineage: Eukaryota; Viridiplantae; Streptophyta; Magnoliopsida; Brassicales; Brassicaceae. The record is from RNAcentral.